RNAcentral lists this ribosomal RNA (600 nucleotides) under Paracoccus homiensis. RNAcentral describes it as "bacterial SSU rRNA". It matches the Rfam family "Bacterial small subunit ribosomal RNA", at positions 99 to 734 of the family's 1533-position model. The record is from RNAcentral. Lineage: Bacteria; Pseudomonadati; Pseudomonadota; Alphaproteobacteria; Rhodobacterales; Paracoccaceae.
CGGACGGGUGAGUAACGCGUGGGAACGUGCCCUUUGCUACGGAAUAGUCCCGGGAAACUGGGUUUAAUACCGUAUGUGCCCUUCGGGGGAAAGAUUUAUCGGCAAAGGAUCGGCCCGCGUUGGAUUAGGUAGUUGGUGGGGUAAUGGCCUACCAAGCCGACGAUCCAUAGCUGGUUUGAGAGGAUGAUCAGCCACACUGGGACUGAGACACGGCCCAGACUCCUACGGGAGGCAGCAGUGGGGAAUCUUAGACAAUGGGGGCAACCCUGAUCUAGCCAUGCCGCGUGAGUGAUGAAGGCCUUAGGGUUGUAAAGCUCUUUCAGCUGGGAAGAUAAUGACGGUACCAGCAGAAGAAGCCCCGGCUAACUCCGUGCCAGCAGCCGCGGUAAUACGGAGGGGGCUAGCGUUGUUCGGAAUUACUGGGCGUAAAGCGCACGUAGGCGGACUGGAAAGUUGGGGGUGAAAUCCCGGGGCUCAACCUCGGAACUGCCUUCAAAACUAUCAGUCUGGAGUUCGAGAGAGGUGAGUGGAAUACCGAGUGUAGAGGUGAAAUUCGUAGAUAUUCGGUGGAACACCAGUGGCGAAGGCGGCUCACUGGCU